Molecule: long non-coding RNA, 1442 nt
Organism: Brienomyrus brachyistius
Lineage: Eukaryota; Metazoa; Chordata; Actinopteri; Osteoglossiformes; Mormyridae
Exons: 3
Source: RefSeq, a predicted model, not a curated record
UGUGAAUCAGCCCAUUCAAAUUGUCCUAUUUGUUCUCUGACUUUUUGUCUUAAACAGACCAUAACCUUCAGGUUUAUUCACUUGCAGUUAUAGGCGCUCAGUGCAAAGCAGCUUCGGACACCAACCUAUAGGAGAGCAUGGCUGGUGAGUCAGUUACCACACUGGCUUUUCUGCUCUGCUGUCUGGGCCUCCCAGCUGUACGUCUGUCUCUCUCUGAAGCACGUAGACUGAUGGUCAGAGAUUCUGUAACUGGGGCAUCAGCUACACUGACAUCCAGUGAGCGGGACUCAGACCAGCUGAUGAAUCUCUGAGGUGGAGGUGUGACUGAGGGUCUUACUCUGAUGGUCAGAGAUUCUGUAACUGGGGCAUCAGCUACACUGACAUCCAGUGAGCGGGACUCAGACCAGCUGAUGAAUCUCUGAGGUGGAGGUGUGACUGAGGGUCUUACUCUGAUGGUCAGAGAUUCUGUAACUGGGGCAUCAGCUACACUGACAUCCAGUGAGCGGGACUCAGACCAGCUGAUGAAUCUCUGAGGUGGAGGUGUGACUGAGGGUCUUACUCUGAUGGUCAGAGAUUCUGUAACUGGGGCAUCAGCUACACUGACAUCCACUGAGCCGGACUCAGACCAGCUGAUGAAUCUCUGAGGUGGAGGUGUGACUGAGGGUCUUACUCUGAUGGUCAGAGAUUCUGUAACUGGGGCAUCAGCUACACUGACAUCCAGUGAGCCGGACUCAGACCAGCUGAUGAAUCUCUGAGGUGGAGGUGUGACUGAGGGUCUUACUCUGAUGGUCAGAGAUUCUGUAACUGGGGCAUCAGCUACACUGACAUCCAGUGAGCCGGACUCAGACCAGCUGAUGAAUCUCUGAGGUGGAGGUGUGACUGAGGGUCUUACUCUGAUGGUCAGAGAUUCUGUAACUGGGGCAUCAGCUACACUGACAUCCAGUGAGCCGGACUCAGACCAGCUGAUGAAUCUCUGAGGUGGAGGUGUGACUGAGGGUCUUACUCUGAUGGUCAGAGAUUCUGUAACUGGGGCAUCAGCUACACUGACAUCCAGUGAGCCGGACUCAGACCAGCUGAUGAAUCUCUGAGGUGGAGGUGUGACUGAGGGUCUUACUCUGAUGGUCAGAGAUUCUGUAACUGGGGCAUCAGCUACACUGACAUCCAGUGAGCGGGACUCAGACCAGCUGAUGAAUCUGAGGCAGAGGUGUGACUGAGGGUCUGCUCCUGCUCUGCUGUCUGUAAAAGACACUUUUGCCAUGUUACUGUCAGAUGGGCUUUGCUCUGUGAAGUUGCAGGACAUCCUGCUUCUCAAUAUCUGUGUGUCUGGCUGUUGGUGUUAAAGGCUAUAUAUGCUACUUUCUGCGCAAUUGUAAACAACCUAUAUAUUUAAAUGAGGUUUUUCAUUGGCUAAACAGAAAGAGGAAAUGUCUGUCUUCAGUAGU